RNAcentral lists this ribosomal RNA (460 nucleotides) under uncultured bacterium. Its description in RNAcentral is "partial 16S ribosomal RNA". It matches the Rfam family "Bacterial small subunit ribosomal RNA", at positions 338 to 795 of the family's 1533-position model. The record is from RNAcentral.
CCUACGGGGGGCUGCAGUGAGGAAUAUUGGUCAAUGGGCGCAAGCCUGAACCAGCCAAGUCGCGUGAGGGAUGACGGUCCUAUGGAUUGUAAACCUCUUUUGUCGGGGAGCAAGGCCCGCCACGUGUGGCGGGAAGGAGAGUACCCGAAGAAAAAGCAUCGGCUAACUCCGUGCCAGCAGCCGCGGUAAUACGGAGGAUGCGAGCGUUAUCCGGAUUUAUUGGGUUUAAAGGGUGCGUAGGCGGAAGGUUAAGUCAGCGGUAAAAUGUCGGUGCUCAACACCGGCCUGCCGUUGAAACUGGUCUUCUUGAGUGAGCGAGAAGUAUGCGGAAUGCGUGGUGUAGCGGUGAAAUGCAUAGAUAUCACGCAGAACUCCGAUUGUGAAGGCAGCAUACCGGCGCUCAACUGACGCUGAGGCACGAAAGCGUGGGGAUCGAACAGGAUUAGAUACCCCAGUAGUC